GAUGAACGCUGGCGGCGUGCCUAAUACAUGCCAGUCGAGCGAACGGACGAGAAGCUUGCUUCUCUGAUGUUAGCGGCGGACGGGUGAGUAACACGUGGAUAACCUACCUAUAAGACUGGGAUAACUUCGGGAAACCGGAGCUAAUACCGGAUGAUAUUUUGAACCGCAUGGUUCAAAAGUGAAAGACGGUCUUGCUGUCACUUAUAGAUGGAUCCGCGCUGCAUUAGCUAGUUGGUAAGGUAACGGCUUACCAAGGCAACGAUGCAUAGCCGACCUGAGAGGGUGAUCGGCCACACUGGAACUGAGACACGGUCCAGACUCCUACGGGAGGCAGCAGUAGGGAAUCUUCCGCAAUGGGCGAAAGCCUGACGGAGCAACGCCGCGUGAGUGAUGAAGGUCUUCGGAUCGUAAAACUCUGUUAUUAGGGAAGAAAAUAUGUGUAAGUAACUGUGCACAUCUUGACGGUACCUAAUCAGAAAGCAACGGCUAACUACGUG
Molecule: ribosomal RNA, 497 nt
Filed under: uncultured bacterium
Lineage: Bacteria
Description: partial 16S ribosomal RNA
Rfam family: Bacterial small subunit ribosomal RNA
Source: RNAcentral